GCCUUGAGAAAAUUUAUUCAAGGUCUAGCCUGCCCUCUGACUCAUUGAGUUGAAUGGCCGCAGUACUUUGACUGUGCUAAGGUAGCAUAAUAAUUUGUCUUAUAAUUAAAGACUAGGAUGAAGGGUGCCACGUUGAGGAGAUGUUUCGGUUAUUAUUCUUGAAUUUAUGUUUAAAGUGAAAACACUUUAAUUUAUUCAAGGGACGAGAAGACCCCAUCAAGUUUCAUGCAUUGCUAUAUUAUUAGUUUUUAUGUAGUUUGGAUUUUAUUGGGGUGAUAAUAUUAGUUUAACUUAAUUUAAUUGACAUGGUGAUUGGGAAAUUUAUAUUUGAUCCAACUUUUGUUGAUUACACGACUAAACUACUGUGGGGAUAACAGCGUAAUCUCUUUGGAGAGAACUAAUCGAUGAAGAGGAUUGCGACCUCGAUGUUGGACUAAGGAUUAGAGUUUAGGUCGUUGAGGCUUAAAUCUAGGGCCUGUGUCCCAUUG
RNAcentral lists this ribosomal RNA (488 nucleotides) under Pantopipetta sp. CPA-2006. Its description in RNAcentral is "partial 16S ribosomal RNA". It matches the Rfam family "Bacterial large subunit ribosomal RNA", at positions 1830 to 2606 of the family's 2925-position model. The record is from RNAcentral. Lineage: Eukaryota; Metazoa; Arthropoda; Pycnogonida; Pantopoda; Austrodecidae.